CUGGCGGCGCGCCUAAUACAUGCAAGUCGAACGGCUUUUCUAUGGAAGCUUGCUUCCACUGAGAAGAUAGUGGCGAACGGGUGAGUAACACGUGGGUAACCUGCCCAUAAGAGGGGGAUAACAUCCGGAAACGGGUGCUAAUACCGCAUAGUUUUCUUGAUCGCAUGAUCGGGAAAGGAAAGACGGCCUUUGUGCUGUCGCUUAUGGAUGGACCCGCGGCGUAUUAGUUAGUUGGUGGGGUAACGGCUCACCAAGACGAUGAUACGUAGCCGACCUGAGAGGGUGAUCGGCCACAUUGGGACUGAGACACGGCCCAAACUCCUACGGGAGGCAGCAGUAGGGAAUCUUCCGCAAUGGACGAAAGUCUGACGGAGCAACGCCGCGUGAGUGAAGAAAGGUUUUCGGAUCGUAAAACUCUGUUGUCAGAGAAGAACAAGUUGGAGAGUAACUGCUCCAGCCUUGACGGUAUCUGACCAGAAAGCCACGGCUAACUACGUGCCAGCCGCCGC
This 509-nucleotide ribosomal RNA is filed under the name uncultured bacterium. RNAcentral's name for it is "bacterial SSU rRNA". It matches the Rfam family "Bacterial small subunit ribosomal RNA", at positions 36 to 518 of the family's 1533-position model. The record is from RNAcentral.